This 240-nucleotide ribosomal RNA is filed under the name uncultured bacterium. Its description in RNAcentral is "partial 16S ribosomal RNA". It matches the Rfam family "Bacterial small subunit ribosomal RNA", at positions 15 to 248 of the family's 1533-position model. The record is from RNAcentral.
GAUCCUGGCUCAGGACGAACGCUGGCGGCGUGCCUAACACAUGCAAGUCGAACGGAGUUGAAAGGAGCUUGCUUUUUUCAACUCAGUGGCGGACGGGUGAGUAACGCGUGAGUAACCUGCCUUUCAGAGGGGGAUAACGUUCUGAAAAGAACGCUAAUACCGCAUAAGAUUGUAGCUUCGCAUGGAGCAGCAAUCAAAGGAGCAAUCCGCUGAAAGAUGGACUCGCGUCCGAUUAGAUAG